RNAcentral lists this long non-coding RNA (1012 nucleotides) under Helianthus annuus (common sunflower). RNAcentral describes it as "sRNA HanXRQr2_Chr11g0506331". Lineage: Eukaryota; Viridiplantae; Streptophyta; Magnoliopsida; Asterales; Asteraceae. The record is from RNAcentral.
CACCCGUAUAGGUCUAUAGGUGUAUAUAUGUCCCGUAUAGGCAUAUACAAGACCUACAUGGAACCUAUACGAGACUUAUACUAUACACUAUACGAUAUGAUACGAUAAUGUAUACUAUACGAUACGAUACGAUACCAUAUGAUACAAUACGAUACGACACUAUAGUAUAGGUCACGUAUAGGCCAAUAGGCAGAUACAAGACAUAUAUGAGACUUAUACGAGACCUAUACGCAGCGUAUAUAAAGUGUCAAAAAGACAAUUUUACCCUUGCAUAUGGCUGCAUAUAGCCCCAAAUGCAGGGGUAAAAUGGUCUUUCCCACUAUAAGCUGCGUAUAGACCCAUACGCAGCGUAUAUAAAGGGUCAAAAGACAUUUUUACCCUUGCAUUUGGCUUCGUAUAGCCCCAAAUGAAGGGCUAAAUGGUCUUUUUGACCCUUUAUAUACGUUGCGUAUAGACCUAUACGCAGCAGCGUAUAUGAAGAUUUUUUUAUAAAGGUUAUAUCGAAUCGUAUAGGUGUAGUAUAGGUCACGAAUUGGCCUCGUAUAAGCCUAUAAGUGUGAUAUCAUAUCAUAUAGCGUAGUAUAUGUCACGUAUUGACCUCGUAUAAGCCUAUAAGUGUGAUAUCGUAUCGUAUAGCGUAUUAUAUGUCCCGUAUAGGCCUAUAGGCAUAUACAUCACCUAUACGAGACUUAUACUAUACGCUAUACGAUACGAUGCAACACGAUACGCUACUAUACGAUACGAUAUAACACUCGUAUAGGUCUAUAGGCCUAUACGGGAUCUAAACCACACUUAUAGGCUAUACGGGACAUAUACUACGCUAUACAAUACGAUAUCACACUUAUAGGCUUAUACGAAGUCAAUAUGUGACCUAUACUACACCUAUACGAUACGAUAUCACACUUAUAGGCUUAUACGAGGUCAAUACGAGACCUAUACCACACCUAUACAAUACGAUAUCACACUUAUUGCUUAUACGAGGUCAAUACGUGACCUAUACUACACCUAUACG